RNAcentral lists this ribosomal RNA (468 nucleotides) under uncultured bacterium. RNAcentral's name for it is "partial 16S ribosomal RNA". It matches the Rfam family "Bacterial small subunit ribosomal RNA", at positions 28 to 507 of the family's 1533-position model. The record is from RNAcentral.
GACGAACGCUGGCGGCGUGCUUAACACAUGCAAGUCGAACGGAAAGGCCCUGCUUUUCUGGGGUGCUCGAGUGGCGAACGGGUGAGUAACACGUGAGUAACCUGCCCUUGACUUCGGGAUAACUUCAGGAAACUGGGGCUAAUACCGGAUAGGAGCUCCUGCUGCAUGGUGGGGGUUGGAAAGUUUCGGCGGUUGGGGAUGGACUCGCGGCUUAUCAGCUUGUUGGUGGGGUAGUGGCUUACCAAGGCUUUGACGGGUAGCCGGCCUGAGAGGGUGACCGGCCACAUUGGGACUGAGAUACGGCCCAGACUCCUACGGGAGGCAGCAGUGGGGAAUAUUGCACAAUGGGCGGAAGCCUGAUGCAGCAACGCCGCGUGCGGGAUGACGGCCUUCGGGUUGUAAACCGCUUUCGCCUGUGACGAAGCGUGAGUGACGGUAAUGGGUAAAGAAGCACCGGCUAACUACGUG